RNAcentral lists this long non-coding RNA (992 nucleotides) under Equus caballus (horse). Its description in RNAcentral is "lncRNA (ENSECAG00000029141.2)". The record is from RNAcentral. Lineage: Eukaryota; Metazoa; Chordata; Mammalia; Perissodactyla; Equidae.
UUUGAAGGCUUUUUCAGGACAGACUGGGCAGCUCCGUGUCCCUCGGGCCGCUCUCCUCUCGGCCGGGCCAUGGCGGCCAGUGCGGUCGCGUGCAUGGUGGACAAGCACGCAGACGCCGCCGUGCCGUCCCUUGUUCCCUGACCACGCCUCCAGCCCGUAUCUCUGGAAGGACAUGAGCGCUGGGUCGUGCACAAGCCCAGUGAGCAGGUGCAGAGUCGGUUUAUGGAGCCCACCGGGCUGGCCCCCCAGGGCUGGAAGGCGGGUCAGGGUAGGAAUGCCCCUCGGCUGCCCUCCCAGGGCCUCAGCUCCCUGGGGGAUGGUGAGGACGAGUAAGCCAGCACACGGUGGCUGCAGUGACAGUGACGUGAGGAUUGUUGGAGAAGGACCUGAAGUCUUGCGGAGAUGGCAGUUUUCGUGGAACAAUGAUGUUUUGCUGCAAGGACUAGUGGGGAGGACAGUCCUGGCAUUUACAGCUAUAAAUUUCCACCUCGGACCUACUUUAGCUGCACCUCAUAAGUUUGGGAGUCCCAGACGUGUGGCUCCAUCCGCAGCGGCUCCAGGGGGCACAGCUGACAAUGACCCGGAGACCCUAUCAGCCACACGUCGGCUCUCCCACGGCUGGCAUCCAGACGGUCCAGCAUUUCUUCUAUUCUCUUUUCCCUCCUCCCUGCCUUUUCCUAUCUGGGCUUCCAGUUGUAAAUUCAUUCUAUUAUUUAGCUCACCUGUUGCGUUCACUAUUUCAAAUUCUGCUUGGUUCUCUUGUUUUCUUUCUCUCUUACAGAAUUUUACCAAAUUCAUUUUAAAUUCUUGGACUGUUCUAAAAUAUUAGAAUAUAUUGAUGGAAUCUCUCUUUCGAUAUUACCAUUUUCAUUUAGCUGUACUUUUCAAGUGUCUUUUAUCUCCUUAUGAGGUCAUGUUCCCCGGGGGUAUUGGCCACUUGGUCAGUGGUGUGUAUGGGGAGGCGAGACCUCAGGGCCGCAGGGAGCUGAAGG